RNAcentral lists this ribosomal RNA (460 nucleotides) under uncultured Treponema sp. RNAcentral describes it as "partial 16S ribosomal RNA". It matches the Rfam family "Bacterial small subunit ribosomal RNA", at positions 341 to 792 of the family's 1533-position model. The record is from RNAcentral. Lineage: Bacteria; Pseudomonadati; Spirochaetota; Spirochaetia; Treponematales; Treponemataceae.
ACGGAAGGCAGCAGCUAAGAAUAUUCCGCAAUGGACGAGAGUCUGACGGAGCGACGCCGCGUGGAUGAUGAAGGUCGGAAGAUUGUAAAAUCCUUUUAUAACUGAGGAAUAAGCAGGGUGAGAGAAACGCCUCGUGGUGACUGUAGGUUAUGAAUAAGCAACGGCUAAUUACGUGCCAGCAGCCGCGGUAACACGUAAGUUGCGAGCGUUGUUCGGAAUUAUUGGGCGUAAAGGGCAAGUAGGCGGUUUUGCAAGCUUGAUGUGAAAGGCAGGAGCUUAACUCCUGGACUGCGUUGAGAACUGCAUGACUAGAGUCACUGAGGGGCAAUCAGAAUUCCUGGUGUAGGGGUGAAAUCUGUAGAUAUCAGGAAGAAUACCAAUGGCGAAGGCAGGUUACCAGCAGAUGACUGACGCUGAGGUGCGAAGGUGCGGGGAGCAAACAGGAUUAGAUACCCUGGUA